AUUGAACGCUGGCGGCAUGCCUAAUACAUGCAAGUCGAGCGGAGUGGCGGACGGGCGAGUAAUUCCCACGAAUCUGCCUUGUAGCGGGGGAUAACGUCCGUAAACGGGCGCUAAUAUCGCACACUAUUUGAUUAGCCUAGGUCGGAUGAGCUAGUUGGUGGGGUAAAGGCCUACAAAGACGACGAUCCGUAACUGGUUUGAGAGGAUGAUCGGUCACACUGGAACUGAGACACGGUCAAGACUCCUACGGAAGGCAGCAGUGGGGAAUAUUGGACAAUGGGCGAAAGCCUGAUCAAGCCAUGCCGCGUGUGUGAGGAAGGUCUUCGGAUGGAAAAGCACUUUAAUUUGGGAGGCGGUACCUACAGAGUAAGCACCGGCUAACUACGUGCCAGCAGCCGCGGUAAUAC
Molecule: ribosomal RNA, 407 nt
Filed under: uncultured bacterium
Lineage: Bacteria
Description: partial 16S ribosomal RNA
Rfam family: Bacterial small subunit ribosomal RNA
Source: RNAcentral